UCGCUUUGAUCCUGUUUGUUUGCAUGAUUUGUUCUUAUAAUGUUGCUCAAAGAUUGUCAAGGAAUUUCAUAGCAAAGAAUGUACAGGUCAUGGGUUCAAAACUCCAUAAGAGGGGAGGCGCAAGAGCUUUGUCUUCAGGGGUUUAGCAGUGCACACAAAUGGUAGUAAAUUAUCCUAGUAAGCUUAGCCUAAUCCUCACCUUCUUCUCCAGCCAUUAAUAUUUAAUAAAAAUAUUACUAAAACGUACCAACUUCUGUGAAGUAAAACAUCAAAACACUUUUAAGAUGGAAAAUUUACAUGGGUGGUUGUGUCAUAUAACCAAUUGCGUUGACGGCACUGUUGUCAUUUUACCACCACAAGAAUAAUAUAAAAGAACCCAAACAUACACCCAAGAGUAAUGGAACCGCUCAACUGGCAUGCCCACAAUACAAUACCAAAGAUCAUGUUAAUUGCUAGGGAAAAUGUAUUUAAGAAUAAGAGGUAGCAAUUGUUAACAUAGUGUAACUAGGACACCAAAAAUUAACCCAGCCAUUCCAACAGUAGCAGCAACAACAAAGAGAUAACCCAGCCGUCCCAAAAUACUACACUCGCACAAAUGUUUCAGUUUCUUUCAUACUCCAUCUCUCUGUAUUCUUUUAAGCUACCUGUACAGCUGCAAUGCAAACAAAGAUAUUGCAAUGUUUUUACAUAAGAAAUUUGUUCCAGUAAAGAAUGUCAAGAUCUGCACUUGAAACACUAAAGCACAAAUGUUAUACUUUUUAAAGCAAUACUAAUCUCAAACAAAUAUUUAAAACUGCUCAGACAACUUGGUGAUAAACUUCCUAGUUUCUGUAGCCAUCUUAAAACUCAAAGACAAAGAAGAUGGCACAUGAAUUUGAUCUUCAUCACCAACAAAGAGAAAGUGGAACACUUUUCCAAAAAGAAUAUGCAGUAUCUCUAUAAUGGUUGCAUACAUCAUCAACUAUAACUGAAUUUCACUUAGAGAUGAGGCUAGUCUAGUACUAUUAAAAGUGUACCUCUUCGAUGAAAUAGCGAACUUGGUCCUGCCAUACAAGCCAAAAAGGAUUGGUGCAUAAACAGACCUGUCAAAACCACCAAUCUGCUACUGUAAGUAGGAUGCUACAGGCACCACAAAUGCAUAUCAUGAAUGGAUAUAUAAAGGAAGAAGAAACAUAUUGCAGUGACGAACAAAAAAAAAAUCAGUUUGAACAAAUGAGUAUUAUCAUUACCUCAGAAUUUAUAUUUACUGAGUGGUUAUAGCAAUCUCAGUUGCACCUGGGGGUAAAUCUCAGUCCACACUCAAUAGAAAUAAUGUAGCAGGCAGAAAUAAAGUACAUUUAACCUUUUUUUUUUCUUUAGAUGAGUUGGAAAUACUAAUUCUCUUAAGACUCCUCUCAAAACAAUAAUUAGCAAUUAUCUUUACAAUUUUAGACUAUCUCAAAUUCCCCUUGAAAACACAAGACUAAAUGGUGGACAUGAUACAGUGAGCAUAACUCAGAUGUCCACUUACAAUGAUUCGAAACAGUUCUUGAAAGUUUGUGCAAGUUUAUAACAAUUGAGAACAUAGGUUUCCAACAUCCAUGCAAGUUAUUAGAUUUUUAGCUUCAAUUACUUUUGUACUAUAUUAGCUCAUCAAUCUGCAAUGCACAUUUACUCUCAAUUACUCAUUACCAAAGAUAAAAACCCUACAAUUACAACAAAUAAAUUUUCUAAAAAAUACAUCAGGGUAAAUAUAUUAUCCCACACAAAAUCCAUGAUCAGUUCAUACCGCUGAGAAGAUUCUAUCAGCAAUUACGGUUUCUAUAGACAAAACUAACAAAUAAGAAAAGCUUACCAGAGGAAAGGAAGUACCGCGAAUAUCUAGGAUUGCUUGAACUGAUUCGGGUUAGUGGCAGGGGAAGAAAUUGAACACAACUUCGUUCCUUUCAACCGAAUCGGAUGAGGGAAAGGGGUUUGCUUUGUCUGAAAAUGAGAGAGAAAUAAGAGGGGCUUGCACCGAAUUUGGGGCUUGGCUACUUUCGCCCUAGAUUUGUGGCUUUGUCCGAAUCGGGUAAAGGGAGAAGAGCUCUGAAAUCGAACACAACUUCGUUAUUACUUUCGUAACGAUUGUCUGAAAAAGCGAGAGCAAGGUAAACCAUGACUAUGAGCUCACAGAACUCCUUCGCCCCUUGGGUUUUGAGACAGGAAUACGAGAAUGGCGAAUUUCAAAUUGGGAGAGAGAAUUAGUGACACGCAUGUUUCUUCCCCCUUUUUGUUUGUGACCCGCGCUUCUUUGUUCUUUUUUUUUCAUUUGGUCCGUUGCCUGGUCCGUUGAGGAGGGCCGUUCCUG
This 2329-nucleotide long non-coding RNA is filed under the name Panax ginseng (ginseng). Its description in RNAcentral is "long non-coding RNA (PGIN_LNC011064)". Lineage: Eukaryota; Viridiplantae; Streptophyta; Magnoliopsida; Apiales; Araliaceae. The record is from RNAcentral.